This 774-nucleotide ribosomal RNA is filed under the name uncultured Neocallimastigales. Its description in RNAcentral is "partial large subunit ribosomal RNA". It matches the Rfam family "Eukaryotic large subunit ribosomal RNA", at positions 23 to 647 of the family's 3401-position model. Lineage: Eukaryota; Fungi; Neocallimastigomycota; Neocallimastigomycetes; Neocallimastigales. The record is from RNAcentral.
AGAGAGAGACAUGCGCGCAUAUCAAUAAGCGGAGGAAAAGAAACUAACAAGGAUUCCCCUAGUAACGGCGAGUGAAGCGGGAAGAGCUCAAAUUUGAAAUCUUAAAGGGUUUCCCUUUACGAAUUGUAGUUUAAAGAAGUGUUUUCUGUUGAGGUUUUGGUAAAAGUUCUUUGGAAUAGGACAUCAUAGAGGGUGAGAAUCCCGUAUUUGACCUUUACUUUCAACUUUGUGAUACACUUUCAAAGAGUCGGAUUGUUUGGGAAUGCAGUCCAAAAUGGGUGGUAAAUUUCAUCUAAAGCUAAAUAUUGGCGAGAGACCGAUAGCGAACAAGUACCGUGAGGGAAGGAUGAAAAGAACUUUGAAAAGAGAGUUAAACAGUACGUGAAAUUGUCAAAAGGGAAGCGUUUGACACCAGUGUUGUUUCUCUGAAAAUCAAUUAAAGAACUGUUUAUGCUAAGCUGUUUAGACUUUAUCAGCUAACUGUUUAGUUUUGAGCUUUUCUUUAAUGCACUUUUCAGUUAACAAGUCAACAUCAAUUUCUUUUGCUGUAAAAAAGCUUGAGGAAGGUGGCUUGAGAUUCGUCUUAAGUGUUUAUAGCCUCUUGCCUAUGCAGUCGGAGAGAUUGAGGUCUGCAGCGUAGAUCCUUCGGGGCUAAAUGCAUUUGUGCUAAGUUAUAGCAUUUUAUAGACAACUUGUUGACUAUGAUUUGUCUUGUAGCUUACUCGCUUAUGUUAUUUUACCUACGCUUAGGAUGUUGACGCAUGAGAUAUACGC